Molecule: ribosomal RNA, 882 nt
Filed under: uncultured archaeon
Lineage: Archaea
Description: partial 16S ribosomal RNA
Rfam family: Archaeal small subunit ribosomal RNA
Source: RNAcentral
UAUUCGGAUUGAUACUAAGCCAUGCGAGUCAUUGUAGCAAUACAAGGCAUAUGGCUCAGUAACGCGUAGUCAACYUAACCUAUGGACGGGAAUAACYUCGGGAAACUGAGAAUAAUGCCCGAUAGAACAUWAUGCYUGGAAUKGUUUAUGUUCCAAAUGAUUUWUCGCCGUAGGAUGGGACUKCSGCCWAUCAGUUUGUUGGUGAGGUWAUKGGCCCACCAAGAMUAUUACAGKUACGGRCUCUGAGAGGAGUAGCCCGGAGAUGGGUACUGAGACACGGACCCAGGCCCUAUGGGGCGCAGCAGCGAGAAACUUUGCAAUGUGCGAAAGCACGACAAGGUUAAUCCGAGUGGUUUCUGCUAAAGGAACCUUUUGUCAGUYCUAGAAACACUGAUGAWUAAGGKGUGGSCARGUUCUGGUGUUAAGCCGCCGGCGKUAAWACMAGCCACYUCAAGUKGUCAGRAUGAUUAUUGGSCUUAAAGCAUCSGUAGCCGGCUCUGUAAGUUUUCGGUUAAAUCUGUACGCUUCAACGUACAGGCUGCCGGGAWUACUGCAAAGCUAGGGAGUGGGAGAGGUAGACGGUACUCGGUAGGGAAGGGGUAAAAUCCUUUGAUCUAUUGAUGACCACCUGUGGCGAAGGCGGUCUACCAGAACACGUCCCGACGGUGAGGGAUGAWGGCUGGGGGAGCAAACCGGAUUAGAUACCCGGGUAGUCCCAGCUGUAAACCAUGCAAACUCAGUGAUGCAUUGGCUUGUGGCCAAUGCAGUGCUGCAGGGAAGCCGUUAAGUUUGCCGCCUGGGAAGUACGUACGCAAGUAUGAAACUUAAAGGAAUUGGCGGGGRAKCACCACAAGGGGUGAAGCCUGCGGUUCAAUUGGAGUC